GUUGCCUAAAUGUGGCAAUAGAAAUUUUUUUUUUUUCCAUUUCUAACUUGGAAGAGGAUUCUUCCAACAAUUUUUCAUUUAGGGAAUGCACCACACUCUGGAUGUGGGUGCAGAGAAGAUGGCUGGCUGGAUCCAGGGUUUUAAUGUUUCCAGCAUGAAGGCAGGGACUUGCUGAGGUUAUGUGUACCAGUCUCCAACCAUUGAUAUUGGCCCAUUUACUUAUUUCACAGGACAAGAGCAUGGGAACAACUAUCUCCUGGAAUGGCCCUUCCACAGGAAGAGAGAAGGAUGCAUGGCACAGAGGAAGGAUGGGGCACCUGGAUUCAAAAUCUGCUUCCACCAUCCAUGGAGCCUGGGAUGUUGAAGAAUUAGUUUUUUCUCUUGGAACUUGCUUUCCUUACUUGUAAAAUAAAGUUAAUCCUACAAAC
Molecule: long non-coding RNA, 428 nt
Filed under: Pongo abelii (Sumatran orangutan)
Lineage: Eukaryota; Metazoa; Chordata; Mammalia; Primates; Hominidae
Description: lincRNA
Source: RNAcentral